AGCGUACACGGUGGAUGCCCUGGCAGUCAGAGGCGAUGAAGGACGUGCUAAUCUGCGAUAAGCGCCGGUAAGGUGAUAUGAACCGUUAUAACCGGCGAUUUCCGAAUGGGGAAACCCAGUGUGAUUCGUCACACUAUCAUUAACUGAAUCCAUAGGUUAAUGAGGCGAACCGGGGGAACUGAAACAUCUAAGUACCCCGAGGAAAAGAAAUCAACCGAGAUUCCCCCAGUAGCGGCGAGCGAACGGGGAGGAGCCCAGAGCCUGAAUCAGCAUGUGUGUUAGUGGAAGCGUCUGGAAAGGCGCGCGAUACAGGGUGACAGCCCCGUACACAAAAGCGCAUGUGCUGUGAGCUCGAUGAGUAGGGCGGGACACGUGGUAUCCUGUCUGAAUAUGGGGGGACCAUCCUCCAAGGCUAAAUACUCCUGACUGACCGAUAGUGAACCAGUACCGUGAGGGAAAGGCGAAAAGAACCCCGGCGAGGGGAGUGAAAAAGAACCUGAAACCGUGUACGUACAAGCAGUGGGAGCACAGGUUUACCUGUGUGACUGCGUACCUUUUGUAUAAUGGGUCAGCGACUUAUAUUCUGUAGCAAGGUUAACCGUAUAGGGGAGCCGGAGGGAAACCGAGUCUUAACCGGGCGUUAAGUUGCAGGGUAUAGACCCGAAACCCGGUGAUCUAGCCAUGGGCAGGUUGAAGGUUGGGUAACACUAACUGGAGGACCGAACCGACUAAUGUUGAAAAAUUAGCGGAUGACCUGUGGCUGGGGGUGAAAGGCCAAUCAAACCGGGAGAUAGCUGGUUCUCCCCGAAAGCUAUUUAGGUAGCGCCUCGUGAAUUCAUCUCCGGGGGUAGAGCACUGUUUCGGCUAGGGGGCCAUCCCGGCUUACCAACCCGAUGCAAACUGCGAAUACCGGAGAAUGUUAUCACGGGAGACACACGGCGGGUGCUAACGUCCGUCGUGAAGAGGGAAACAACCCAGACCGCCAGCUAAGGUCCCAAAGUCAUGGUUAAGUGGGAAACGAUGUGGGAAGGCCCAGACAGCCAGGAUGUUGGCUUAGAAGCAGCCAUCAUUUAAAGAAAGCGUAAUAGCUCACUGGUCGAGUCGGCCUGCGCGGAAGAUGUAACGGGGCUAAACCAUGCACCGAAGCUGCGGCAGCGAACGUAUCACCCAAGACAACUUUACGGAGUUGACGAUUGACGGAGCGAAGCGACGUCAAAGCGUUCAUAAAAGUCGAGUCGGUUUAAGGAUACGUUCGUUGGGUAGGGGAGCGUUCUGUAAGCCCGUGAAGGUGGCCUGUGAGGGUUGCUGGAGGUAUCAGAAGUGCGAAUGCUGACAUAAGUAACGAUAAAGCGGGUGAAAAGCCCGCUCGCCGGAAGACCAAGGGUUCCUGUCCAACGUUAAUCGGGGCAGGGUGAGUCGACCCCUAAGGCGAGGCCGAAAGGCGUAGUCGAUGGGAAACGGGUUAAUAUUCCCGUACUUGGUGUUACUGCGAAGGGGGGACGGAGAAGGCUAUGUUGGCCGGGCGACGGUUGUCCCGGUUUAAGCGUGUAGGUGUGUGUUCCAGGUAAAUCCGGUUCACUUUAACACUGAGGCGUGACGACGAGGCACUACGGUGCUGAAGCAACAAAUGCCCUGCUUCCAGGAAAAGCCUCUAAGCAUCAGGUAACAUCAAAUCGUACCCCAAACCGACACAGGUGGUCAGGUAGAGAAUACCAAGGCGCUUGAGAGAACUCGGGUGAAGGAACUAGGCAAAAUGGUGCCGUAACUUCGGGAGAAGGCACGCUGACACGUAGGUGAAGUGAUUUACUCAUGGAGCUGAAGUCAGUCGAAGAUACCAGCUGGCUGCAACUGUUUAUUAAAAACACAGCACUGUGCAAACACGAAAGUGGACGUAUACGGUGUGACGCCUGCCCGGUGCCGGAAGGUUAAUUGAUGGGGUCAGCGCAAGCGAAGCUCCUGAUCGAAGCCCCGGUAAACGGCGGCCGUAACUAUAACGGUCCUAAGGUAGCGAAAUUCCUUGUCGGGUAAGUUCCGACCUGCACGAAUGGCGUAAUGAUGGCCAGGCUGUCUCCACCCGAGACUCAGUGAAAUUGAACUCGCUGUGAAGAUGCAGUGUACCCGCGGCAAGACGGAAAGACCCCGUGAACCUUUACUAUAGCUUGACACUGAACAUUGAGCCUUGAUGUGUAGGAUAGGUGGGAGGCUUUGAAGUGUGGACGCCAGUCUGCAUGGAGCCGACCUUGAAAUACCACCCUUUAAUGUUUGAUGUUCUAACGUGGACCCGUAAUCCGGGUUGCGGACAGUGUCUGGUGGGUAGUUUGACUGGGGCGGUCUCCUCCUAAAGAGUAACGGAGGAGCACGAAGGUUGGCUAAUCCUGGUCGGACAUCAGGAGGUUAGUGCAAUGGCAUAAGCCAGCUUGACUGCGAGCGUGACGGCGCGAGCAGGUGCGAAAGCAGGUCAUAGUGAUCCGGUGGUUCUGAAUGGAAGGGCCAUCGCUCAACGGAUAAAAGGUACUCCGGGGAUAACAGGCUGAUACCGCCCAAGAGUUCAUAUCGACGGCGGUGUUUGGCACCUCGAUGUCGGCUCAUCACAUCCUGGGGCUGAAGUAGGUCCCAAGGGUAUGGCUGUUCGCCAUUUAAAGUGGUACGCGAGCUGGGUUUAGAACGUCGUGAGACAGUUCGGUCCCUAUCUGCCGUGGGCGCUGGAGAACUGAGGGGGGCUGCUCCUAGUACGAGAGGACCGGAGUGGACGCAUCACUGGUGUUCGGGUUGUCAUGCCAAUGGCACUGCCCGGUAGCUAAAUGCGGAAGAGAUAAGUGCUGAAAGCAUCUAAGCACGAAACUUGCCCCGAGAUGAGUUCU
Molecule: ribosomal RNA, 2861 nt
Filed under: Salmonella enterica
Lineage: Bacteria; Pseudomonadati; Pseudomonadota; Gammaproteobacteria; Enterobacterales; Enterobacteriaceae
Description: bacterial LSU rRNA
Rfam family: Bacterial large subunit ribosomal RNA
Source: RNAcentral